RNAcentral lists this ribosomal RNA (903 nucleotides) under uncultured archaeon. RNAcentral's name for it is "bacterial SSU rRNA". It matches the Rfam family "Archaeal small subunit ribosomal RNA", at positions 15 to 923 of the family's 1478-position model. The record is from RNAcentral.
UGCCGGAGGUCACUGCUAUUGGGAUUCGACUAAGCCAUGCGAGUCGCGAGGGUUCGGCCCUCGGCUGACGGCUCAGUAACACGCGGAUAAUCUGCCCUUAGGUGGAGGAUAACCUCGGGAAACUGAGAAUAAGACCCCAUAGAUCUAGGAGGCUGGAAUGCACUUAGAUCAAAAACUUCGGUGCCUAAGGAUGAGUCUGCGGACUAUCAGGUAGUAGUCAGGGUAAUGACCUGACCAGCCUACGACGGAUACGGGUUGUGAGAGCAAUAACCCGGAGAUGAUAUCUGAGACACGAUAUCAGGCCCUACGGGGCGCAGCAGGCGCGAAAACUUCAUACUGUGCGAAAGCACGAUGAGGGAAUCCCAAGUGCUGGCUCGUAAGAGUCAGCUGUUUUUCUGUCUAGAAAACAGAGAGAGUAAGAGCUGGGUAAGACGGGUGCCAGCCGCCGCGGUAAUACCUGCAGCUCAAGUGGUGGCCGCUAUUAUUGGGCCUAAAACGUUCGUAGCCGGUCUAGUAAAUGCCUGGGUAAAUCGUACGGCUUAACCGUACGAAUUCCGGGUAGACUGCUGGACUUGGGACUGGGAGAGGCUAGAGGUACUCCUGGGGUAGAGGUGAAAUUCUGUAAUCCUAGGGGGACGACCAGUGGCGAAGGCGUCUAGCUAGAACAGGUCUGACGGUGAGGAACGAAGCCCUGGGGCGCAAACGGGAUUAGAUACCCCGGUAGUCCAGGGUGUAAACGCUGCUUGCUUGAUGUUAGUCGGGCUCCGAGCCCGAUUAGUGUCGGAGAGAAGUUGUUAAGCAAGCUGCCUGGGGAGUACGGCCGCAAGACUGAAACUUAAAGGAAUUGGCGGGGGAGCACCGCAACGGGUGGAGCGUGCGGUUUAAUUGGAGUCAACGCCGGAA